AGUGGGAUAACUGAGUCAAAUGGUGGUUCCAUUCUAAAAGUUUUCUGAGGAAUCUCCUUAUUGCUUUCCAGAGUGGUUGCACCAAUUUGUAGUACCACCAGUAAU
RNAcentral lists this microRNA precursor (105 nucleotides) under Marmota monax (woodchuck). The record is from RNAcentral. Lineage: Eukaryota; Metazoa; Chordata; Mammalia; Rodentia; Sciuridae.